CAUACAGCUCGCUCCAAGCACCCUGCCACUCGGGCGGCGCGGAGUUAACUCAGUAGAGCUGGCUAAGCAUGUAGAACCGAUAGCGGAGAGCUGGCGGACGGGGGUUCAAAUCCCCCCGGCUCCACCA
RNAcentral lists this transfer-messenger RNA (127 nucleotides) under Pseudomonas aeruginosa. RNAcentral's name for it is "partial transfer-messenger RNA". It matches the Rfam family "transfer-messenger RNA", at positions 236 to 374 of the family's 374-position model. Rfam says of the family: Bacterial tmRNA, also known as 10Sa RNA or SsrA, is named for its dual tRNA and mRNA-like properties. The record is from RNAcentral. Lineage: Bacteria; Pseudomonadati; Pseudomonadota; Gammaproteobacteria; Pseudomonadales; Pseudomonadaceae.